Molecule: ribosomal RNA, 253 nt
Filed under: uncultured bacterium
Lineage: Bacteria
Description: partial 16S ribosomal RNA
Rfam family: Bacterial small subunit ribosomal RNA
Source: RNAcentral
UACGUAGGGGGCAAGCGUUGUCCGGAUUUAUUGGGCGUAAAGAGCUCGUAGGCGGUUUGUCGCGUCUGCUGUGAAAACUCGGGGCUUAACUCCGGGCCUGCAGUGGGUACGGGCAGACUAGAGUGCGGUAGGGGAGACUGGAAUUCCUGGUGUAGCGGUGGAAUGCGCAGAUAUCAGGAGGAACACCGGUGGCGAAGGCGGGUCUCUGGGCAGUAACUGACGCUGAGGAGCGAAAGCGUGGGGAGCGAACAGG